GAUGAACGCUGGCGGCGUGCCUAAUACAUGCAAGUCGAGCGAACAGACGAGGAGCUUGCUCCUCUGACGUUAGCGGCGGACGGGUGAGUAACACGUGGAUAACCUACCUAUAAGACUGGGAUAACUUCGGGAAACCGGAGCUAAUACCGGAUAAUAUAUUGAACCGCAUGGUUCUAUAGUGAAAGACGGUUCUGCUGUCCCUUAUAGAUGGAUCCGCGCCGCAUUAGCUAGUUGGUAAGGUAACGGCUUACCAAGGCGACGAUGCGUAGCCGACCUGAGAGGGUGAUCGGCCACACUGGAACUGAAACACGGUCCAGACUCCUACGGGAGGCAGCAGUAGGGAAUCUUCCGCAAUGGGCGAAAGCCUGACGGAGCAACGCCGCGUGAGUGAUGAAGGUCUUCGGAUCGUAAAACUCUGUUAUUAGGGAGGAACAAAUGUGUAAGUAACUAUGCACGUCUUGACGGUACCUAAUCAGAAAGCCACGGCUAACUACGUG
Molecule: ribosomal RNA, 497 nt
Filed under: uncultured bacterium
Lineage: Bacteria
Description: partial 16S ribosomal RNA
Rfam family: Bacterial small subunit ribosomal RNA
Source: RNAcentral